Molecule: non-coding RNA, 24 nt
Filed under: Arabidopsis thaliana (thale cress)
Lineage: Eukaryota; Viridiplantae; Streptophyta; Magnoliopsida; Brassicales; Brassicaceae
Source: RNAcentral
AGAGCCGGUUGUUGGAGAGUUGGU